CAAUAGAUCAACUUGCAAAUGGGUCAGAACAUUAUUCUUAAAAUAAUCAUAUUUUCUCCAAACAAGAGAAAUUGAUCGGAGAAAACAAAAAUCUCGCCAAUUUCCAUUCUCAUCAUUCAAAGAAUCAAAACAUAGAAGUAAUUUAUUUCCUUUAUGCAUCAUUUUCUUUAUAUUAAUUGCAAUAAUAAUAAUAAUAAUUUGUAGACAAGAAGUAUAAGAGAGCAAUGAUGGAAAUGAAGAGGGACUUGGAAAACCAGCCACAAAUUCUAUUUCAACGCUUUAAUUUGAUGAAUAACAUUGAGUUCCUAAAAGCCGUUUACAAAUGUGUUUCUGUAACUAUUACUGGCAAUCUCAAACCCCAUAUAAUUAAACCAACAUAGUAUAUAAUAAGAGUAAAUUAAUUGCAAUUAAAAAUAAACUAUAGUCUAUAGAAAUUAUUAUUAAUUAUAACAAGAUGAAAAUGAAAAAAAAAAAUGCCUGGCUUUCCCAUGUACGCCGCUAGUGAUGAAUUCUCCACCACAAAUGAGAUCGAUCCUAGUCAUCAAAAUCUUACCUCGUACCAACAAAAAACAUCAUCAAACAAUUGAAAAUGAGUCUUAGCAAAGUUCAUGAAUUUCUUCUUCCUCUUCUUGUUCUUGUCCAUGACCAUCUAGCUAUAAGUUCUCAAUGCUUUGCUUAUAAAUAUAAAUAUAUAAAUAUUUGGCUCUAGAGAUCCAAAUUGAGGAGUAAUAAUUAAUUAACACAAAAAGGGUAUCACAAUUUGUUUGUGUUUAUAAUAAGAAAGACAUAGAGUGAGAGACAAAGAGAAAGGGAAGAGGUAUAUAGAAGAAGGUUAAUGUUUUGUUCCCAAGACAAGAAGAUGAAGAGUUAGAGGAAUUCCCGUUGAUGUUGUUUUCAAAGAAGGUUUUAAUUUUCCUUGCUGUGGGCCAUGAAAGAAGGCAUUUUUGUUUCACACGUUGGGGUGGUUCUCUUUGUCUUCCCCUUCAAAACUCCAGUCAAAGGUUUUAGUUUUAGCUACAUUAACCCUCAAU
RNAcentral lists this long non-coding RNA (1031 nucleotides) under Cicer arietinum (chickpea). RNAcentral describes it as "long non-coding RNA (CARI_LNC000575)". Lineage: Eukaryota; Viridiplantae; Streptophyta; Magnoliopsida; Fabales; Fabaceae. The record is from RNAcentral.